This 558-nucleotide ribosomal RNA is filed under the name Fictibacillus sp. Its description in RNAcentral is "bacterial SSU rRNA". It matches the Rfam family "Bacterial small subunit ribosomal RNA", at positions 371 to 916 of the family's 1533-position model. The record is from RNAcentral. Lineage: Bacteria; Bacillati; Bacillota; Bacilli; Caryophanales; Fictibacillaceae.
AUGGGACGAGUCCUGACCGAGCACGCCGCGUGAGCGAUGAAGGCCUUUCGGGUUCGUAAAGCUCUGUCUGGCAGAGAAGAACAAGUACCGGAGUAACUGCCGGUACCUUGACGGUACCUGACCAGAAAGCCACGGCUAACUACGUGCCAGCAGCCGCGGUAAUACGUAGGUGGCAAGCGUUAUCCGGAAUUAUUGGGCGUAAAGCGCGCGCAGGCGGUUCCUUAAGUCUGAUGUGAAAGCCCACGGCUCAACCGUGGAGGGUCAUUGGAAACUGGGGGAACUUGAGUGCAGGAGAGAAAAGUGGAAUUCCACGUGUAGCGGUGAAAUGCGUAGAGAUGUGGAGGAACACCAGGUGGCGAAGGCGGCUGUUUUGCCCUGUAACUGACGCUUAGGCGCGAAAGCGUGGGGGAGCAAACAGGAUUAAAAUACCCUGGUAGUCCACGCCGUAAACGAUAAGGGCUAGUGUUUGGGGGGGUUUCCGCCCUCAGUGGUGACGUUACGGAUUAGGAUUCCGCCGGGGGAAAUCUGCCCCCAAGGGUUAAACUCAGGGAUGGACGG